AGUGAACGCUGGCGGUAGGCCUAACACAUGCAAGUCGAACGGCAGCACAGUAAGAGCUUGCUCUUACGGGUGGCGAGUGGCGGACGGGUGAGGAAUACAUCGGAAUCUACUUUUUCGUGGGGGAUAACGUAGGGAAACUUACGCUAAUACCGCAUACGACCUACGGGUGAAAGCAGGGGAUCUUCGGACCUUGCGCGAUUGAAUGAGCCGAUGUCGGAUUAGCUAGUUGGCGAGGUAAAGGCCCACCAAGGCGACGAUCCGUAGCUGGUCUGAGAGGAUGAUCAGCCACACUGGAACUGAGACACGGUCCAGACUCCUACGGGAGGCAGCAGUGGGGAAUAUUGGACAAUGGGCGCAAGCCUGAUCCAGCCAUACCGCGUGGGUGAAGAAGGCCUUCGGGUUGUAAAGCCCUUUUGUUGGGAAAGAAAAGCAGCAGGUUAAUACCCCGCUGUUCUGACGGUACCCAAAGAAUAAGCGCCGGCUAACUUCGUG
This 492-nucleotide ribosomal RNA is filed under the name uncultured bacterium. RNAcentral's name for it is "partial 16S ribosomal RNA". It matches the Rfam family "Bacterial small subunit ribosomal RNA", at positions 29 to 507 of the family's 1533-position model. The record is from RNAcentral.